RNAcentral lists this ribosomal RNA (1977 nucleotides) under Triticum aestivum (bread wheat). Its description in RNAcentral is "partial small subunit ribosomal RNA". Lineage: Eukaryota; Viridiplantae; Streptophyta; Magnoliopsida; Poales; Poaceae. The record is from RNAcentral.
AUGUCGUGGAGAAACGUCACGGACUGCUGCGAAUGGGAAGGCAUAACCUGCAACAGGAGCGGGGGCGUCACUGAGGUCUCGCUGGCAUCUAAAGGGCUUGAAGGGCGCAUCUCGCCACACCUUGCCGGCCUCACCGGCCUGCUGCGUGUCAACCUUUCACACAACUCAUUCUCCGGAGGCCUUCCGCCGGAGCUCAUGUAUUCCAGAAGCAUCGUCGUCCUCGACGUCAGCUUUAGCAGGCUUAGUGGGGUGCUGCAUGAGCCGCCGUCUUCGGUUACCACCACCCUGACUCUGCAGGUACUGAACAUCUCGAGCAACCAAUUCGGUGCAGAAUUUCCAUCCUACACAUGGAAGUUGAUGCGGAAUUUGGUCGUCCUCAACGCAAGCAACAACAGCUUCACUGGGCACAUACCACCUUCUCUCUGCCUUUCGUCAUCAUUGGCCAUGCUUGACCUUUGUUACAACCAAUUGAGUGGCGGUAUUCCUGCUGCACUUGGCGAUUGCUCCACACUCGAAGUGUUCAAGGUUGGGCACAACAACCUAAGUGGGACUCUCCCUGCUGAACUCUUCCAUGCCACUUCCCUGGAGCACCUCUCCUUCCCCAACAACGGAUUACAAGGAGAACUUGAUGGCGCAAACAUAGUAAAACUCAGUAAUCUGGUUACUCUCGACCUCCGAGAAAACAAAUUCAGUGGGAAGAUCCCAGGCUCCAUAGGUCAGUUGAAGAGGCUAGAGGAGCUCUAUUUGGGUAACAAUAACAUGUCUGGGGAGCUGCCAUCAACUCUGAGUAACUGCACGCGUCUCAUGGUCAUUGAUCUGAAGAUCAACAACUUCAGUGGAGAUCUAGGCAGGGUCAACUUCUCCACCCUACAGAACCUAACACAUUUAGAUAUUCUGAGAAAUAACUUCAGUGGCAUAGUUCCAGAAAGCAUAUACUCAUGCAGCAAUUUGAUUGCACUGCGGGUGUCGUUGAACCAUUUCCAUGGUGAGAUCUCACCAAGAAUAGGGAAUCUGCACCUAUCUUUCCUGUCACUUGCUAGAAACCCUUUUACAAAUAUCACAAAAGCUUUUCAUGUCUUCAAUAGCUUCAGGAACAUCACCACUCUGAUUAUUGCCGAGAACUUCGUGAAUGAGAUGAUGCCACAAGAUGAGACCCUAGAUGGUUUUCGGAAUCUUCAAUAUAUCCACAUGGCCGACAGCGCAUUAACUGGGCACUUGCCAGUUUGGUUAUCAAAGCUCAGAAACUUGAAGGUACUAAAGUUGUCCAACAAUCGACUUACUGGACCAAUGCCAGGCUGGAUCAACUCCCUACAUAGCCUGUUCUAUCUGGAUGUAUCAAACAACAGUUUUACCGGGCAAAUCCCAAUCACCUUGAUGGAGAUCCCAAUGCUCAAAGAUAAUACAGCAGCUUAUUUGGAUCCUGGCCAAGUUGAACUACCUCUCUUUUGGAGGAAUAUAUCGCGCCAAUACCAUUUUCUUACAGCUUUCCCUACUCUCUUGAAUCUGAGCAUCAACAAUUUCACAGGUGUGAUUCCACCGGAGAUUGGUCAACUGAAAGUGCUUUCUGAACUCGAUUUCAGCUCUAACAAAUUAUAUGGAGUGAUUCCGCUGUCGGUCUGCAAUCUCACGAAGUUGGAGGUGCUAGACUUGUCUAAUAACCAUCUGAGGGGUGUAAUCCCCGCGGCACUGGAGAGACUUCACUUCCUUUCUGCAUUCAACAUUUCUAACAAUGACCUAGAAGGGCCUGUACCAGCAGGAGGCCAGUUGAGCACAUUUCCAGAUUCCAGUUUUGAUGGGAACCCAAAGCUGUGUGGCACUAUGCUUGUUCACCGUUGUAGUUCAACCGGAGCAGAUGUUGUCUACGUUAUCUCUGCAAAACAGCUCAGCGUCAAGGUCAUAUUUUUUGUUGGCUUUGGUUUGUUUUUUGGAGUAGGCGUGCUAUAUGAUCAGCUAGUGUUAUAUAGGUAUUUCGGCUAA